Molecule: ribosomal RNA, 2776 nt
Filed under: Pseudomonas sp. NBRC 111144
Lineage: Bacteria; Pseudomonadati; Pseudomonadota; Gammaproteobacteria; Pseudomonadales; Pseudomonadaceae
Description: bacterial LSU rRNA
Rfam family: Bacterial large subunit ribosomal RNA
Source: RNAcentral
AGCGCAUACGGUGGAUGCCUUGGCAGUCAGAGGCGAUGAAAGACGUGGUAGCCUGCGAUAAGCUUUGGGGAGUCGGCAAACAGACUUUGAUCCAGAGAUCUCUGAAUGGGGGAACCCACUCAGCACAAGCUGAGUAUCUUGUACUGAAUACAUAGGUGCAAGAGGCGAACCAGGGGAACUGAAACAUCUAAGUACCCUGAGGAAAAGAAAUCAACCGAGAUUCCCUUAGUAGUGGCGAGCGAACGGGGACCAGCCCUUAAGUUGAUUUGAGAUUAGUGGAACGCUCUGGAAAGUGCGGCCAUAGUGGGUGAUAGCCCCGUACACGAAAAUCUCUUAUCAAUGAAAUCGAGUAGGACGGAGCACGAGAAACUUUGUCUGAAUAUGGGGGGACCAUCCUCCAAGGCUAAAUACUACUGACUGACCGAUAGUGAACCAGUACCGUGAGGGAAAGGCGAAAAGAACCCCGGAGAGGGGAGUGAAAUAGAACCUGAAACCGUAUGCGUACAAGCAGUGGGAGCCUACUUUGUUAGGUGACUGCGUACCUUUUGUAUAAUGGGUCAGCGACUUAUAUUCAGUGGCGAGCUUAACCGAAUAGGGGAGGCGUAGCGAAAGCGAGUCUUAAUAGGGCGUUUAGUCGCUGGGUAUAGACCCGAAACCGGGCGAUCUAUCCAUGGGCAGGUUGAAGGUUAGGUAACACUGACUGGAGGACCGAACCGACUACCGUUGAAAAGUUAGCGGAUGACCUGUGGAUCGGAGUGAAAGGCUAAUCAAGCUCGGAGAUAGCUGGUUCUCCUCGAAAGCUAUUUAGGUAGCGCCUCAUGUAUCACUGUAGGGGGUAGAGCACUGUUUCGGCUAGGGGGUCAUCCCGACUUACCAAACCGAUGCAAACUCCGAAUACCUACAAGUGCCGAGCAUGGGAGACACACGGCGGGUGCUAACGUCCGUCGUGAAAAGGGAAACAACCCAGACCGUCAGCUAAGGUCCCAAAGUCAUGGUUAAGUGGGAAACGAUGUGGGAAGGCUUAGACAGCUAGGAGGUUGGCUUAGAAGCAGCCACCCUUUAAAGAAAGCGUAAUAGCUCACUAGUCGAGUCGGCCUGCGCGGAAGAUGUAACGGGGCUCAAACCAUGCACCGAAGCUACGGGUAUCAUCUUAUGAUGAUGCGGUAGAGGAGCGUUCUGUAAGCCUGUGAAGGUGAGUUGAGAAGCUUGCUGGAGGUAUCAGAAGUGCGAAUGCUGACAUGAGUAACGACAAUGCGAGUGAAAAACUCGCACGCCGAAAGACCAAGGUUUCCUGCGCAACGUUAAUCGACGCAGGGUUAGUCGGUCCCUAAGGCGAGGCUGAAAAGCGUAGUCGAUGGAAAACAGGUUAAUAUUCCUGUACUUCCAGUUAUUGCGAUGGAGGGACGGAGAAGGUUAGGCCAGCCUGGCGUUGGUUGUCCAGGUUUAAGGUGGUAGGCUGAAAUCUUAGGCAAAUCCGGGAUUUCAAGGCCGAGAGCUGAUGACGAGUUGCCUUUAGGCGACGAAGUGGUUGAUACCAUGCUUCCAAGAAAAGCUCCUAAGCUUCAGAUAACUGGGAACCGUACCCCAAACCGACACAGGUGGUUAGGUAGAGAAUACCAAGGCGCUUGAGAGAACUCGGGUGAAGGAACUAGGCAAAAUGGCACCGUAACUUCGGGAGAAGGUGCGCCGGCGAGGGUGAAGGACUUGCUCCGUAAGCUCAUGCCGGUCGAAGAUACCAGGCCGCUGCGACUGUUUAUUAAAAACACAGCACUCUGCAAACACGAAAGUGGACGUAUAGGGUGUGACGCCUGCCCGGUGCCGGAAGGUUAAUUGAUGGGGUUAGCGCAAGCGAAGCUCUUGAUCGAAGCCCCGGUAAACGGCGGCCGUAACUAUAACGGUCCUAAGGUAGCGAAAUUCCUUGUCGGGUAAGUUCCGACCUGCACGAAUGGCGUAACGAUGGCGGCGCUGUCUCCACCCGAGACUCAGUGAAAUUGAAAUCGCUGUGAAGAUGCAGUGUAUCCGCGGCUAGACGGAAAGACCCCGUGAACCUUUACUAUAGCUUUGCACUGGACUUUGAAUUUGCUUGUGUAGGAUAGGUGGGAGGCUUUGAAGUGGGGACGCCAGUUCUCAUGGAGCCAUCCUUGAAAUACCACCCUGGCAACUUUGAGGUUCUAACUCAGGUCCGUCAUCCGGAUCGAGGACAGUGUAUGGUGGGUAGUUUGACUGGGGCGGUCUCCUCCCAAAGAGUAACGGAGGAGUACGAAGGUGCGCUCAGACCGGUCGGAAAUCGGUCGUAGAGUAUAAAGGCAAAAGCGCGCUUGACUGCGAGACAAACACGUCGAGCAGGUACGAAAGUAGGUCUUAGUGAUCCGGUGGUUCUGUAUGGAAGGGCCAUCGCUCAACGGAUAAAAGGUACUCCGGGGAUAACAGGCUGAUACCGCCCAAGAGUUCAUAUCGACGGCGGUGUUUGGCACCUCGAUGUCGGCUCAUCACAUCCUGGGGCUGAAGCCGGUCCCAAGGGUAUGGCUGUUCGCCAUUUAAAGUGGUACGCGAGCUGGGUUUAGAACGUCGUGAGACAGUUCGGUCCCUAUCUGCCGUGGACGUUUGAGAUUUGAGAGGGGCUGCUCCUAGUACGAGAGGACCGGAGUGGACGAACCUCUGGUGUUCCGGUUGUCACGCCAGUGGCAUUGCCGGGUAGCUAUGUUCGGAAGAGAUAACCGCUGAAAGCAUCUAAGCGGGAAACUUGCCUCAAGAUGAGAUCUCACUGGGAUCUUGA